This is a long non-coding RNA of Etheostoma cragini (Arkansas darter), 114 nucleotides long. RefSeq lists it as uncharacterized. Lineage: Eukaryota; Metazoa; Chordata; Actinopteri; Perciformes; Percidae. The record is from RefSeq and is a predicted model, not a curated record. The transcript is spliced from 3 exons.
GAUUCUGAUUGGUCUGCAGUGAAAGACCCAGGAGGAAGCGGAGGAACAAGUCCAGGUGUCCAUUAGGACUCUGUAAGGCCUUGUCCACAGCACUCUGAUGGAGACAUAUUAGUG